Molecule: transfer RNA, 76 nt
Filed under: Pseudomonas aeruginosa
Lineage: Bacteria; Pseudomonadati; Pseudomonadota; Gammaproteobacteria; Pseudomonadales; Pseudomonadaceae
Description: tRNA-Ala
Source: RNAcentral
CGGGAUCGAACCGUCGACCUCUUGCAUGCCAUGCAAGCGCUCUCCCAGCUGAGCUAUAGCCCCAAAGUACCGCUGG